This is a long non-coding RNA of Andrographis paniculata, 1228 nucleotides long. RefSeq lists it as uncharacterized. The transcript has 5 exons. NCBI's taxonomy places the organism in Eukaryota, Viridiplantae, Streptophyta, Magnoliopsida, Lamiales, Acanthaceae. The record is from RefSeq and is a predicted model, not a curated record.
CUAUAUACACAUUCUCUCACAUACCCACGUUAUACAUAGUUCAUACACAAAAUUCACACCCAGAUCUAGAUCGUUUCUCUUUUCUGGUGGAUAUGGCCGCUGGUGACUCGCCCAAUGCUUACUCAUGCUCAUCUUCUCCCAAAAUAUUUUCAAUAACUGAAAAUGAGGAUUUUUUUAUUUCCCUAAAAUCAGAUUUUGGGACAGUAGGGCCGGAGUCCAAUUUCGACAUAGUGGUGCUAGAGUCUGAUUUCUCUGUCCCAUUGACGGUGGUUGCCCCCUCGGUGGCCGGCGAAAACCGUUUCGGUGACGAUUUUGCUUCCAUAUGAGCAAUCCAAACAAUAGACACAGACUUUCGCGAAAUGUUAAAAGAGUAGCAACGCAAUGAUGUCCUGUAGGAAGAAGAAAAGCGAAAAUUCAACAUUCUUGGAAGACGUUAGAGACCACAUUGAUGAAUUCAUCCAUGCAUCAGUAGACGAACACAAAUCUUGCUUCCAGAAGACAAUCAGCAAGAUGUUUGGCCUGUCAAAGAUUGUUGCAGAAAGGAGCUCCGAGAGCGUAGAAGUAGUAAGUGAACUACCCCUUCAGACAACAGUAGCAAAAGAUGCUUAAAAGAGCUUGGGUUAAUGUUCUCUUUGGGCAAUUGUUCGCAUAAAAAAUGUAUCGGCAAUUGGCUGAAUCAGUCAAGAGUUUUGGAGCCUAGUUAUCAUUUGUCAAGGAUGACAAUUGGGCUGGUUAUCCUGGGGAUUUACCUUUACAUCAAUUUUCUGAGCCCAAAAGGUAACUUGCAUAAUACAUACUCCCUCCGUCCCGCAGGUCACAUUUAUCUUUUGCGUCAUUAUACUUAACGUUAAAAAUAUCAUUAUAUUUGUAUAAUUUUUUAUAUAAAUGUUCUUCUAUUAGUAUUAUAAAACACUAAUGGAAGUAUUUUUGUAAUUUUUUAUUAAUUUGUAAUAUGUUUUGAUAUAAUAAUUAAUAUUAAAAAAUUAACAUGCAAAAAGUAAAUAAGUUCUCAGAGCCGGACAUAGGUUGGACAUAGGUUGUAUAUGUAUAUGUGUUUUAUUAUAAAUACAUAAAAUAUCAUAUGCUUUAUUGUAUAAAAUUCUCUUGUAUUAUAUAAAAUAUGUACAAAAUACCAUCUCCGUGCAAAGUUAGAUGUUGGGUGUAAAGAAGUUCCUAAUUAUGUAAAAGUAUUAUACAAAUAAAGACAUGAAAUAGACAAGCAGUGAUU